CUGGCCUACGGGACGCAGCAGUGAGGAAUAUUGGUCAAUGGACGCAAGUCUGAACCAGCCAAGUAGCGUGCAGGAUGACGGCCCUCCGGGUUGUAAACUGCUUUUAGUUGGGAAUAAAAGGGGGCUCGUGAGCCCCGUAUUGUAUGUACCAUCAGAAAAAGGACCGGCUAAUUCCGUGCCAGCAGCCGCGGUAAUACGGAAGGUCCGGGCGUUAUCCGGAUUUAUUGGGUGUAAAGGGCGGGUAGGCGGGAAUGCAAGUCAGAUAUGAAAACU
Molecule: ribosomal RNA, 273 nt
Filed under: uncultured bacterium
Lineage: Bacteria
Description: partial 16S ribosomal RNA
Rfam family: Bacterial small subunit ribosomal RNA
Source: RNAcentral